Long non-coding RNA from Formica exsecta, 934 nucleotides. RefSeq lists it as uncharacterized. The transcript is spliced from 4 exons. NCBI's taxonomy places the organism in Eukaryota, Metazoa, Arthropoda, Insecta, Hymenoptera, Formicidae. The record is from RefSeq and is a predicted model, not a curated record.
ACAACGAGAGUUUGUGAUGCGCGAAUAUAAUCACGUGAUUUUCAAGUGCCGAGCAGUAUAGUUUUCCGUCGCGAUAUAAUAAAGUGUGCUUCGCGUAUGAUUAAUGUCGACAGUAUCGUCCAAAGCGCCGCGUAAUUGUCAUAUUCUGCUGUUGGGCGCGCGCGAUCGUAAUUAUCCAUGUUUUCGCGAGUGUCACAAAGUGAAUAAGAAAAGAGGAAAAGGAGACCCGGGAUGGUAUCGUGCAACAGCAGAGCAACUCUAAGAUUGAACCGAACGUGUACGAAGUUAUUAUUCGAGUUCGUCGAAGUUUAACGACGAGGUUGUGUAUAUUGUUCCGUUCGUCCAAAAUGUACAACUAUCUACCUGUGGAUAUCCGGCUGUGUAUCUGUCUUGAAUUGAAAAGCAGUGGGUAGGCGGGGAUAAAGCAAGAAAAAAGAAACGUGUGUGUACCAAAGACAACGUUUAGGAGGAAAGAGGAAGUAACAUUUCGCAAAGGGAAAGCCGGAAGUUGAGUCGCAUGACCAGGAAGUUAGAUUUCUCACCAGUUUCACGGAGACGCAAUGUCAAGUCCUGAUUAAAAGGUCAAGUGUUAAACAGAAAUUUCGUUCGUGAGACGGACGGAUGAAUAAAGAUGACCAUGCGUAGAGUUACCCCGGAGCGUGAAAGAAGAGAAGCGACGGUUGUAAAUCGAGUCGAGUCCGCCUGACCUCCCGGAGGCUGUUCGAUAACUUUUAACUGACUCCACAGAAAAAUCAACGACCGUGUGUUAUCGCGCGGCCUGCCCGCGUCAAUCCGUGUUAUCUUCGUUGCGGAUAUGUGGCAGCCAGAAACCGUCACGGGUGGCGUGAAUCGUAUGUAUAACAUAAAUCAGAUUUUUCUGCGCCCACAUCUCGUUGAUACUCGCCUUUAUUUUCUUUUUCGAAAAAAAAAACAA